GACGAACCUUGCUAACGUUAUUCGGAAUUACUGGGCUUAAAGGGUGCGUAGGCGGUGCAGAAAGUUGGGUGUGAAAGCCCUCGGCUCAACCGAGGAAUUGCGCCCAAAACUACUGCACUAGAGGAAGACAGAGGUACGCGGAACUUAGGGUGGAGCGGUGAAAUGCGUUGAUAUCCUAAGGAACACCGGUGGCGAAGGCGGCAUCCUGGACCGGUAUUGACGCUGAGGCGCGAAAGCCAGGGGAGCAAACGGG
This 253-nucleotide ribosomal RNA is filed under the name uncultured bacterium. RNAcentral's name for it is "partial 16S ribosomal RNA". It matches the Rfam family "Bacterial small subunit ribosomal RNA", at positions 524 to 776 of the family's 1533-position model. The record is from RNAcentral.